AUGUGCGUGCCCCGAGGUGGGUGCCAGUGCCGCUGGGGCGCCUGGAAGUAUUGUCUGAGUCCCCCCAGGGACGAACGGGUGCUGGAGGGAGAGGGGGCAACUACACACGUGUGUGUGUGUGUGUGCGCACAGGUGUUGCACGUGUGUGCACGGGAAGGCAUGCAAGUGUGUGUGCACGCCUGCACGUUUGCAUGCCUGUGUACAUGUGCACACGUAGGUGUGCAUGCGUGUGCCAGCUGGGCUAGUCUUGCUCGAAGAACACGACUAGAGCAAAUGCAAGAGCGGCAACAAACCCCUGGGCGUGCUCGGAGGCUCCCCUGCUCCGGCAGGUCAGGGCUCAGCACYUGCAGCUCGCCUGACAUGCCCCUUAGCAGCCCGCACGCAGCCAGGCAGUGCGGGUACACCCACACACCUGCCUGCGCACACACAGCGCACACUCACCUCUCCCAACACAGACUUCGCACAGCUAAACACGGAAAAAUGCACACACCCAGCUCCCAGCAUACACGCAUAUGCACUUACUGCUGCUCCCCAGCAAUGUAUACAGGUACAUAUGCACACACACACAACGCACACGCUCAGCCCCCUCCAAUAAUAUGCAUAUACACACAAUUGCGUUUCUGCCCGUUUGCCCACACAACUCCCCACAAUGUACGCACCCCCCCCCAGGGCGUACACACACAUGCACCCACCCUUAAGCCGUGUGCAUGCACCCACAUGCAUGCAGUGCACACUGAGCCCUCAGGUGUGCCCACAUGCAAACGUGUGCAGGGACACCACGCACACAGGCGUUCAGCUCUGCCAGGGUGCACACACGUGCUUACCUGUGGGCAGGCAUCGUGCACACACGAUGCGCGUUCGGCUCUCCCCUUGCACACGUGCACGCAUGGGCACACACGCAGAGCACACUUAGCUUUCCCUGCGCACACGCAUGCACGUAUGCACGCACACUCACACUGCGCACACACACGCAGCGACGCCCCGCUCUCCCAGAGCACGCACGGGCAGACAUGCACAGGCCCCCUGCGCGCCCGCACGUGCAAUAGGCGCGCACCUCUCGCGGGGCGCACGCACACACGCAUGUAA
This 1086-nucleotide long non-coding RNA is filed under the name Apteryx haastii (Great spotted kiwi). RNAcentral's name for it is "lncRNA (ENSAHAG00000005171.1)". Lineage: Eukaryota; Metazoa; Chordata; Aves; Apterygiformes; Apterygidae. The record is from RNAcentral.